GUUCGCGUAACUCAGUGGUAGAGUGUGAGAUUGCAAUGAAAUUUGUGUCUAAGUAUCUUGAAGUCGCGUGUUCGACCCACGCCGCGAACU
Molecule: non-coding RNA, 90 nt
Organism: Lentinula aciculospora
Lineage: Eukaryota; Fungi; Basidiomycota; Agaricomycetes; Agaricales; Omphalotaceae
Source: the annotation of a GenBank genome assembly